RNAcentral lists this ribosomal RNA (826 nucleotides) under uncultured Chitinophagaceae bacterium. Its description in RNAcentral is "bacterial SSU rRNA". It matches the Rfam family "Bacterial small subunit ribosomal RNA", at positions 187 to 1012 of the family's 1533-position model. The record is from RNAcentral. Lineage: Bacteria; Pseudomonadati; Bacteroidota; Chitinophagia; Chitinophagales; Chitinophagaceae.
GGCAUCAUACUAUAAUUAAAGAUUUAUCACUUAAAGANGGCUGUGCGGCUGAUUAGGUAGUUGGUCGGGGUAACGGCCCACCAAGCCAACGAUCAGUAACUGGUGUGAGAGCACGACCAGUCACACGGGCACUGAGACACGGGCCCGACUCCUACGGGAGGCAGCAGUAAGGAAUAUUGGUCAAUGGACGCAAGUCUGAACCAGCCAUGCCGCGUGAAGGAUGAAGGCCCUCUGGGUUGUAAACUUCUUUUAUCUGGGAAGAAAUGCCUGCUUUAUAGCGGGUUUGACGGUACCAGAGGAAUAAGCACCGGCUAACUCCGUGCCAGCAGCCGCGGUAAUACGGAGGGUGCAAGCGUUAUCCGGAUUCACUGGGUUUAAAGGGUGCGUAGGUGGGUUGGUAAGUCAGUGGUGAAAUCUCCGUGCUUAACAUGGAAACUGCCAUUGAUACUACUGGUCUUGAAUUUUCUGGAGGUAAGCGGAAUAUGUCAUGUAGCGGUGAAAUGCUUAGAUAUGACAUAGAACACCAAUUGCGAAGGCAGCUUACUACAGGGAUAUUGACACUGAGGCACGAAAGCGUGGGGAUCAAACAGGAUUAGAUACCCUGGUAGUCCACGCCCUAAACGAUGGAUACUCGACAUUUGCGAUACACAGUAAGUGUCUGAGCGAAAGCAUUAAGUAUCCCACCUGGGAAGUACGACCGCAAGGUUGAAACUCAAAGGAAUUGGCGGGGGUCCGCACAAGCGGUGGAGCNAUGUGGUUUAAUUCGAUGAUACGCGAGGAACNUUACCUGGGCUNNAAUGCNGUUGGACUGUGGGUGAAAGCUCAC